RNAcentral lists this long non-coding RNA (1404 nucleotides) under Numida meleagris (helmeted guineafowl). RNAcentral's name for it is "lncRNA (ENSNMEG00000000539.1)". Lineage: Eukaryota; Metazoa; Chordata; Aves; Galliformes; Numididae. The record is from RNAcentral.
UCACUGUGUGGGUCUCUAUGGGUCUCUAUGGGUCUCUAUGGGUCUCUAUGGGUUGCUAUGGGUCACUAUGGGUCAAUGUGGGGGUCUCUAUUGGUCGCUAUGGGUCACGGUGUGGGUCUCUGUGGGUCUCUAUGGGUCUCUAUGUGUCACUGUGGGUCAAUAUGUGGGUCUCUAUGGGUCAUGGUGUGGGUCUCUGUGGGUCGCUAUGGGUUGCUAUGGGUCUCCAUGGAUCACUAUGGGUCCCUAUGGGUCUCUAUGGGUCAAUGUGUGGGUCUCUGUGGGUCUCUGUGGGUCUCUGUGGGUCGCUGUGGGUCAAUGUGUGGGUCUCUAUGGGUCUCUAUGGGUGUCUAUGGGAUCUAUGGGUCCCUAUGGGUCUCUAUGGGAUCUGUGGGGUCUCCAUGGGUCUCUCUAUGGGGCUCUAUGGGGCUCUAUGGAAUCUAUGGGUCUCUAUGGGUUGCUAUGGGUCCCUAUGCAUCCCUGUGCAUACCUAUGGGUCUCUGUGGGUCUCUAUGGGUCUCUAUGGGUCAAUGUGUGGGUCUCUGUGGGUCACUAUGGGUCACGGUGUGGGUCUCUAUGGAUCGCUAUGGGUCUCUAUGGGUCACUAUGGGUCUUUAUGGGUUGCUAUGGGUCUCUGUGGGUCACUAUGGGUCUCUAAGGGUUGCUAUGGGUCGCUGUGGGUCAAUGCGUCGGUCUCUAUGGGUCUCUGUGGGUCCCUAUGGGUCUCUAUGGGUCUCUGUAGUUUGCUAUGGGUCUCUAUGGGUCGCUGUGGGUCACGCUGAUGGGUCACGCUGUAGGUUUCUAUGGGUCGCUAUGGGUCUCAAUGGUUCACUAUGGGUUGCUAUGGGUCUCUGUGGGUCUCUAUGGAUCCCUAUGGGUCGCAGUGGGUCUCUAUGGGUCUCUAUGGGUCCCUAUGGGUCCCUAUGGGUUGCAAUGGGUCCCUAUGGGUCGCAAUGGGUCCCUAUGGGUCGCAAUGGGUCCCUAUGGUUCUCUAUGGGUCUCUAUGGGUCUCUGUGGGUCUCUAUGGGUCGCUAUGGGUCACUACGGGUCUCUAUGGGUCUCUAUGGGUCGCUAUGGGUCCCUAUGGGUCCCUAUGGGUCUCUAUGGGUCUCUAUGGGUCUCUAUGGGUCUCUAUGGGCCGCUAUGUGCCCCUAUGGGUCACUAUGGAUCUCUAUGGGUCCCUAUGGGUCGUAAUGGGUCCCUAUGGGUCUCUAUGGGUCUCUAUGGGUCCCUAUGGGUCGCAAUGGGUCCCUAUGGGUCCCUAUGGGUUACUACGGGUCUCUAUGGGUCUCUAUGGGUCGCUAUGGGUCGCUGUGGGUCCCGCUGUGGGUCACGCCGUGGGUCUGCCCCCCAGGCCGCUGUGCCUGCCCUGCACCGAGGGCUCCUCCCGCGCCCUGCGCCUGCCGC